UGGCGAACGUGUGAGUAACACGUGGGUGAUCUGCCCUGCACUCUGGGAUAAGCCUUGGAAACUGGGUCUAAUACCGGAUAGGACCAUGCUUUAGUGUGUGUGGUGGAAAGUUUUUUCGGUGUAGGAUGAGCCCGCGGCCUAUCAGCUUGUUGGUGGGGUAAUGGCCUACCAAGGCGGCGACGGGUAGCCGGACUGAGAGGUUGGUCGGCCACAUUGGGACUGAGAUACGGCCCAG
Molecule: ribosomal RNA, 235 nt
Filed under: uncultured Actinomycetales bacterium
Lineage: Bacteria; Bacillati; Actinomycetota; Actinomycetes; Actinomycetales
Description: partial 16S ribosomal RNA
Rfam family: Bacterial small subunit ribosomal RNA
Source: RNAcentral